AUGAUGAUUUUAAUGGCCGCGGUAUUUUAACCGUGCUAAGGUAGCAUAAUCAUUUGUCUUUUAAUUGGGGGCUAGAAUGAAUGGUUGGACGAGGUAUUAACUUUCUUUAAUUUAAUUACGGAAUUUAAUUUUUGAGUGAAAAAGCUUAAAUUUUUUUGUUAGACGAGAAGACCCUAUAGAUCUUAAUACUUGACUUAUUUGUGAUGUUUGGGGAUUAUUAUAUUACUAUUAAGUACAGUAUUUGAUUGGGGUGAUUGUAGAAUUAAAAUAACUUCUAUUUUAUGUAUCAUUUAUGUAUGUUUUUAUGAUCCAUUAUAAUGAUUAAAAGAUUAAGUUACCUUAGGGAUAACAGCGUAAUUUCUGUGGAGAGUUCAUAUCGAUGCAGGAGUUUGCGACCUCGAUGUUGGAUAAAAUAAGUUUUGAAUGUAGCAGUUCAAUUACUGGGUCUGUUCGACCCUUAAAUUUUUACAUGAUCUGAGUUCAACCGGA
This 489-nucleotide ribosomal RNA is filed under the name Pygolampis foeda. RNAcentral describes it as "partial 16S ribosomal RNA". It matches the Rfam family "Bacterial large subunit ribosomal RNA", at positions 1915 to 2619 of the family's 2925-position model. The record is from RNAcentral. Lineage: Eukaryota; Metazoa; Arthropoda; Insecta; Hemiptera; Reduviidae.